CUACGGGUCGCUCCAGUGAGGAAUAUUGCACAAUGGGGGAAACCCUGAUGCAGCAACGCCGCGUGGAGGAUGACGCAUUUCGGUGUGUAAACUCCUUUUAUGAGUCAAGAAAAUGACGGUAGCUCAUGAAUAAGCACCGGCUAACUCCGUGCCAGCAGCCGCGGUAAUACGGAGGGUGCAAGCGUUACUCGGAAUCACUGGGCGUAAAGGACGCGUAGGCGGGAUGUCAAGUCAGGUGUGAAAUCCUAUGGCUCAACCAUAGAACUGCACUUGAAACUGGCAACCUAGAGUAUGGGAGGGGGAGAUGGAAUUAGUGGUGUAGGGGUAAAAUCCGUAGAUAUCACUAGGAAUACCGAAAGCGAAGGCGAUCUCCUGGAACAUUACUGACGCUAAGGCGUGAAAGCGUGGGGAGCAAACAGGAUUAGAUACCCUAGUAGUC
This 439-nucleotide ribosomal RNA is filed under the name uncultured bacterium. RNAcentral describes it as "partial 16S ribosomal RNA". It matches the Rfam family "Bacterial small subunit ribosomal RNA", at positions 339 to 795 of the family's 1533-position model. The record is from RNAcentral.